UGAAGAUUAAGCAUUAAGGGGCCCAGGAGACCGGUUAAUCCAGACUCAAUGCCACCAGAAAACGCGUUUGGAGAAGAGGGAGAGGAAGAAGAGAAAGAAAAAAAAAUCAAUGGCCUUUUGUAAUUCCUGACUUCCUGCCCAGUGACGUUC
Molecule: non-coding RNA, 150 nt
Organism: Paramormyrops kingsleyae
Lineage: Eukaryota; Metazoa; Chordata; Actinopteri; Osteoglossiformes; Mormyridae
Source: RefSeq, a predicted model, not a curated record